UACGUAGGGUCCGAGCGUUGUCCGGAGUUACUGGGCGUAAAGGGCGCGUAGGCGGCCUGCUAAGUCGAACGUGAAAUCCCCGAGCUUAACUCGGGAACUGCGUCCGAUACUGACAGGCUUGAAUCCGGGAGAGGGAUGCGGAAUUCCAGGUGUAGCGGUGAAAUGCGUAGAUAUCUGGAGGAACACCGGUGGCGAAGGCGGCAUCCUGGACCGAGAUUGACGCUGAGGCGCGAAAGCGUGGGGAGCAAACAGG
Molecule: ribosomal RNA, 253 nt
Filed under: uncultured bacterium
Lineage: Bacteria
Description: partial 16S ribosomal RNA
Rfam family: Bacterial small subunit ribosomal RNA
Source: RNAcentral